This 215-nucleotide unclassified non-coding RNA is filed under the name plant metagenome. RNAcentral's name for it is "partial contains small subunit ribosomal RNA and internal transcribed spacer 1". The stretch from base 1 to 46 matches the Rfam family "Eukaryotic small subunit ribosomal RNA", at positions 1786 to 1831 of the family's 1831-position model. The record is from RNAcentral.
AAGUCGUAACAAGGUUUCCGUAGGUGAACCUGCGGAAGGAUCAUUAAAGAGACGUUGCCUUCGGGUAUGACCUCCACCGCUUCCGUUUAUUUAUUAACCUUGCUUGCUUUGGCAGUGACCCGGCUUCGGCCCACCGGCUCCGGCUGGUCAGUGUCUGCCAAAGGACCUAAAACUCUGUUUGUUAAUAUUGUCUGAGUACUAUAUAAUAGUUAAAA